RNAcentral lists this ribosomal RNA (253 nucleotides) under uncultured bacterium. Its description in RNAcentral is "partial 16S ribosomal RNA". It matches the Rfam family "Bacterial small subunit ribosomal RNA", at positions 524 to 776 of the family's 1533-position model. The record is from RNAcentral.
UACAGAGGUCCCAAGCGUUGUUCGGAUUCAUUGGGCGUAAAGCGCGCGUAGGCGGCCCGGUAAGUCCGCUGUAAAAGUCCAGGGCUCAACCCUGGAAAGCCGGUGGAUACUGUCGGGCUAGAGUCCGGAAGAGGCGAGUGGAAUUCCUGGUGUAGCGGUGAAAUGCGCAGAUAUCAGGAAGAACACCCGUGGCGAAGGCGGCUCUCUGGGACGGUACUGACGCUGAGACGCGAAAGCGUGGGGAGCGAACAGG